RNAcentral lists this ribosomal RNA (440 nucleotides) under uncultured bacterium. RNAcentral's name for it is "partial 16S ribosomal RNA". It matches the Rfam family "Bacterial small subunit ribosomal RNA", at positions 338 to 795 of the family's 1533-position model. The record is from RNAcentral.
CCUACGGGUGGCAGCAGUGGGGGAUAUUGCACAAUGGGGGAAACCCUGAUGCAGCGACGCCGCGUGUGGGAAGACGGUCCUCUGGAUUGUAAACCACUGUCCCCAGGGACUAAGAUGACGGUACCUGGGGAGUAAGCUCCGGCUAACUACGUGCCAGCAGCCUCGGUAAUACGUAGGGAGCGAGCGUUGUCCGGAUUUACUGGGUGUAAAGGGAGCGUAGGCGGUAUUGCAAGUUGUGUGUCAAAUCUACCGGCUCAACCGGUAGCCGCACUUAAAACUGCAGGUCUUGAGUAAAGUAGAGGCAGGCGGAAUUCGUAGUGUAGCGGUGAAAUGCGUAGAUAUUACGAGGAACACCAGUGGCGAAGGCGGCCUGCUGGGCCUUUACUGACGCUGAGGCUCGAAAGUGUGGGGAGCAAACAGGAUUAGAUACCCCAGUAGUC